CCGAUUUGGACUCCGUGCCCAUAUACACGCAUGCUAGCUUUUUAUUGUUGUACGUGACUCCAAUUAUCUUGUACUCCGAAUUUAUAGGAUUGGUCAAAAUCCGGUGUCAACAGAACUGUUAUCCCAGUGACGGACACUUCCGUCCGAAUUGAACUGGAGCAAAGACUGGGAAACACGAAGCUUUGACUUCCUCGCUGGGUAUUUC
RNAcentral lists this long non-coding RNA (205 nucleotides) under Setaria italica (foxtail millet). Its description in RNAcentral is "long non-coding RNA (SITA_LNC006490)". The record is from RNAcentral. Lineage: Eukaryota; Viridiplantae; Streptophyta; Magnoliopsida; Poales; Poaceae.